Molecule: ribosomal RNA, 466 nt
Filed under: uncultured bacterium
Lineage: Bacteria
Description: partial 16S ribosomal RNA
Rfam family: Bacterial small subunit ribosomal RNA
Source: RNAcentral
GAUGAACGCUGGCGGCGUGCUUAACACAUGCAAGUCGAACGAUGAAGCCCAGCUUGCUGGGUGGAUUAGUGGCGAACGGGUGAGUAACACGUGAGUAACCUGCCUUUAACUCUGGGAUAAGCCUGGGAAACUGGGUCUAAUACCGGAUAGGAGCGUCCACCGCAUGGUGGGUGUUGGAAAGAUUUAUCGGUUUUGGAUGGACUCGCGGCCUAUCAGCUUGUUGGUGAGGUAAUGGCUCACCAAGUCGACGACGGGUAGCCGGCCUUGGAGGGGGACCGGCCACACUGGGACUGAGACACGGCCCAGACUCCUACGUUAGGCAGCGGUGGGGAAUAUUACACAAUGAGCGCAAGCCUGAUGCAGCGACGCCGCGUGAGUGAUGACGGCCUUCGGGUUGUAAACCUCUUUCAGUAGAGAAGAAGCGAUAGUGACGGUACCUGCAGAAGAAGCACCGGCUAACUACGUG